GGGCCUAUAUAUCGGUACUUUCUACUGAACAAAAUGAAAGGAAAACAUCAAAAGAAGAGAAAAAGGUGCAUGGAUUGGAGAUAUCAGUCUUUAUCUGUUCUGGAGAGUUAUCGAGUUAAUAAUGAGUUUUUGCAAUUAAAGGCAUGCCGCAAAACCCAUAAAGCAAGGACGCUCGAACACGCACGAUGGACUUAGAAAUUAGCAUUUCCCAGGUAACGGACGUCCUUACAGAAUUUCAAGAUCAGCAUGCACAACCUAUAGAAAUGAAGAAAAAAUCAAGAUUCCAGACGCUGUAACUUACAGACAUCUAGAGACCAUUUUAAUGAAGGCAGGAAGCCUGUUGUCAAUCGCAGUCCAACUAAGAGCUCCAUUUACAGUCCUAACCAAGAUUGAGGUGUAGAGAGACGCAGUUCUUCCCAACACAUCGAGUAUAUUCCAACAUAUCAGAUGAUAAAAAAUGUUAGGGGCUCUAUCUCCGGAAUUCGCACAAAAGAUGUAAUCAUGCAUUGUGGCACUUAAGGUGCAAAGCCAGUAAGAAAGUUGGUCCAUUCAGUCCCGAAUUCUCACAAAACUUAAGAGGUAACAGGUAGGUUUAGGUCAUUAUAGGAUUACUACGCCUAUUCCUCAAUCUUGGAAACUUGUCAUGAUCAUAUGACUAGAGAGAUUCAUGCUCAUAAUGUUUGCUUAUGCAAACACUGUCAUGUUACAAACAGGUUACUAAUCAUAUCAACCACUAUACGCUUCACAAUUGAACUAGUUGGUAUCUAACUGGCUAUGUUUCCAAUUGGGGCGAAUCCACAGCUGAGCCAUUUUAUGUGAUAUAAAUCUAUGGGGAACUUUUUCAUGUAUUAAGGAUCAAUAUCUCUGGUUUUUUAUUGAAAAAUUAUGGUUUGGUAAGGCAC
This is a long non-coding RNA of Coffea arabica (coffee), 902 nucleotides long. RefSeq lists it as uncharacterized. Lineage: Eukaryota; Viridiplantae; Streptophyta; Magnoliopsida; Gentianales; Rubiaceae. The record is from RefSeq and is a predicted model, not a curated record.